Molecule: ribosomal RNA, 263 nt
Filed under: uncultured Actinomycetes bacterium
Lineage: Bacteria; Bacillati; Actinomycetota; Actinomycetes
Description: uncultured actinobacterium partial 16S rRNA
Rfam family: Bacterial small subunit ribosomal RNA
Source: RNAcentral
UACAGACGAGAGGCUCUCUACCGUCUGGAAAGUUUUUCGGUCUGGGAUGGACUCGCGGCCUAUCAGCUAGUUGGUGAGGUAAUGGCUCACCAAGGCGACGACGGGUAGCCGGCCUGAGAGGGCGACCGGCCACACUGGGACUGAGACACGGCCCAGACUCCUACGGGAGGCAGCAGUGGGGAAUAUUGCACAAUGGGCGAAAGCCUGAUGCAGCGACGCCGCGUGAGGGAUGAAGGCCUUCGGGUUGUAAACCUCUUUCAGCA